CACCUUGUUGUUUGCCCUGCUCGACAUAGAAUCGACGUUGCUGGAAAGCUGAGGUCGGCGUUCAGCUCGGUAAUUCUAUUUCUCCGGUGGUUAAGCGCCAGGACACUUAGGCCCGACGCACGGUCCACGGAUUCCGGUCGCGCUUGCGUCUAAAUUUGGAAGCUGAUGAGGUCAUUGGGCAAGUGUUUUGUUUGUUUGGUUGGUUGGCUUUGUCGCGGGGUGAUUUUGACUUGUGUUGAUUGGCAGGAAGCUGGAUUCCGAUGUUGAAUUCGUCGGGGACGAUUGGAAUAUUCACUAGGUUAUUUACAAUUUUAAGAGAAGGUCAGGUAGGGAUUUUGCUUAUGUGCAUGUGUUUUGUGAGGGGCUUCCAUGGCGAUAUUCUUUGUGGUAGUGGUGGUGCACCAGUAAAGAGAUACGAUAAUAUAUAUAUAUAUAUCUCUGCAGAUAUAUCCCCCUGCGAUACAGCCAUAAAAUGG
Molecule: small RNA, 476 nt
Filed under: Histoplasma capsulatum
Lineage: Eukaryota; Fungi; Ascomycota; Eurotiomycetes; Onygenales; Ajellomycetaceae
Also listed under: 1 other name
Description: hypothetical RNA
Source: RNAcentral